AAGUCGUAACAAGGUUUCCGUAGGUGAACCUGCGGAAGGAUCAUUACUGAAUUGUAAACAAGGGUUGUUGCUGGUCCUCAAAUGGGGGACAUGUGCACGCUCUGUUCACACAUCCAAUCACACCUGUGCACCCUCUGCAGUUCCGUGGUCAGGGGGGCUUUGCCUUCCUGUGCUGUGGUUCUGCUUCUUUACACACACACACUGUAACAAAGUCUUGUGGAAUGUAUGCCGCGUUUAACGCAAUACAAUACAACUUUCAGCAACGGAUCUCUUGGCUCUC
Molecule: unclassified non-coding RNA, 280 nt
Filed under: Tomentella ellisii
Lineage: Eukaryota; Fungi; Basidiomycota; Agaricomycetes; Thelephorales; Thelephoraceae
Description: partial internal transcribed spacer region
Rfam family: Eukaryotic small subunit ribosomal RNA (bases 1-46)
Source: RNAcentral